This is a non-coding RNA of Triticum aestivum (bread wheat), 135 nucleotides long. NCBI's taxonomy places the organism in Eukaryota, Viridiplantae, Streptophyta, Magnoliopsida, Poales, Poaceae. The record is from Rfam.
AAAUUACUCCCUCCGUCCCAAAAUUCUUGUCUUAGAUUUGUCUAGAUACGGAUGUAUCAAGUCACAUUUUAGUAUUAGAUACAUCCGUAUCUAGACAAAUCUAAGACAAGAAAUUUGGGACAGAGGGAGUAGUUG